GACGAACGCUGGCGGCGUGCUUAACACAUGCAAGUCGAACGGAAAGGCCCUGCUUUUGUGGGGUGCUCGAGUGGCGAACGGGUGAGUAACACGUGAGUAACCUGCCCUUGACUUUGGGAUAACUUCAGGAAACUGGGGCUAAUACCGGAUAGGAGCUCCUGCUGCAUGGUGGGGGUUGGAAAGUUUCGGCGGUUGGGGAUGGACUCGCGGCUUAUCAGCUUGUUGGUGGGGUAGUGGCUUACCAAGGCUUUGACGGGUAGCCGGCCGGAGAGGGUGACCGGCCACAUUGGGACUGAGAUACGGCCCAGACUCCUACGGGAGGCAGCAGUGGGGAAUAUUGCACAAUGGGCGGAAGCCUGAUGCAGCAACGCCGCGUGCGGGAUGACGGCCUUCGGGUUGUAAACCGCUUUCGCCUGUGACGAAGCGUGAGUAACGGUAAUGGGUAAAGAAGCACCGGCUAGCUACGUG
RNAcentral lists this ribosomal RNA (468 nucleotides) under uncultured bacterium. RNAcentral describes it as "partial 16S ribosomal RNA". It matches the Rfam family "Bacterial small subunit ribosomal RNA", at positions 28 to 507 of the family's 1533-position model. The record is from RNAcentral.